Molecule: long non-coding RNA, 1902 nt
Organism: Oncorhynchus tshawytscha (Chinook salmon)
Lineage: Eukaryota; Metazoa; Chordata; Actinopteri; Salmoniformes; Salmonidae
Source: Ensembl
CACCCUUUUGUCUUUAUUUCAUAAAGAAAAGUAAAAAGUGAAUUAUGAAAACACCUCCAUUUUUUAUUUUAUUUUACCUUUAUUUUACUAGGCAAGUCAGUUAAGAAGAAAUUAUUAUUUUCAAUGACGGCCUAGGAACAGUGGGUUAACUGCCUCUCCCUGACCUCUCUUAGCCUGGAUGCCUGACUUGAUUUGGUGAAGGCUAGGGGGUAAGGGUUAUGGGGGUAGAGGCUAGGGGGUAAGGGCUAGGGGGUAGAGGCUAGGGGGCAAGGGCUAGGGAGUAAGGGGUAGAGGCUAGGCGGUAAGGGCUAGGGAGUAAGGGGGUAAGGGUUAGGGAGUAAGGGGGUAUGGGUUAGGGAGUAAGUGGCUAAGGGCUAGGGAGUAAGGGGGUAAGGGCUAGGGAGUAAGGGGGUACAUGCUAGGGGGUAAGGGCUUGGGGGUAGAGGCUAGAGUGUAAGUGGGUAAAGACUAGGGGGUAAGGGCUAGGGGGUAAGGGCAAGGCGUAGAGACUAGGGGGUAAAGGGGUAGAGGCUAGGGGGUAAAGGGGUAGAGGCUAGGGGGUAAAGUGGUAGAGGCUAGGGAGUAAAGGGGUAGAGGCUAGGGGGUAAAGGGGUAGAGGCUAGGGAGUAAAGGGGUAGAGGCUAGGGAGUAAAGGGGUAGAGGCUAGUUAGAGAUUAGGGAGUAAAGGGGUAGAGGCUAGGGAGUAAAGGGGUAGAGGCUAGGGGGUAGAGGCUAGGGAGGAAAGUGGUAGAGGCUAGGGGGUAAGGGCUAGGGAGUAUGGGCUAGGGGGUAAGGGCUAGGGGGUAGAGGCUAGGGAGUAAGUGGGUAAAGGCUAGGGGGUAAGGGCUAGGGAGUAAAGGGGUAGAGGCUAGGGAGUAAAGGGGUAGAGGCUAGGGAGUAAAGGGGUAGAGGCUAGGGGGUAAGGGCUAGGGGGUAGAGGCUAGGGAGUAAGUGGGUAAAGACUAGGGGUAGAGGCUAGGGAGUAAGUGGGUAGAGACUAGGGGGUAAGGGCUAGGGAGUAUGGGCUAGGGGGUAAGGGCUAGGGGGUAGAGGCCAGGGAGUGAAGGGGUAGAGACUAGGGAGUAAAGGGGUAGAGGCUAGGGGGUAAAGGGGUAGAGGCUAGGGAGUAAAGGGGUAGAGGCUAGGGAGUAAAGGGGUAGAGGCUAGUUAAAGAUUAGGGAGUAAAGGGGUAGAGGCUAGUUAGAGAUUAGGGAGUAAAGGGGUAGAGGCUAGGGGGUAGAGGCUAGGGAGGAAAGUGGUAGAGGUUAGGGGGUAGAGGCUAUUGAGUAAAGGGGUAGAGGCUAGGGAGUAAAGGGGUAGAGGCUAGUUAGAGGCUAGGGAGUAAAGGGGUAGAGGCUAGUUAGAGGCUAGGGAGUAAAGGGGUAGAGGCUAGGGAGUAAAGGGGUAGAGGCUAGGGAGUAAAGGGGUAGAGGCUAGUUAGAGAUUAGGGAGUAAAGGGGUAGAGGCUAGGGAGUAAAGGGGUAGAGGUAAAGGGGUAGAGGCUAGGGAGUAAAGGGGUAGAGGCUAGUUAGAGAUUAGGGAGUAAAGGGGUAGAGGCUAGGGAGUAAAGGGGUAGAGGCUAGGGGGUAGAGGCUAGGGAGGAAAGUGGUAGAGGCUAGGGGUAAGGGCUAGGGAGUAUGGGCUAGGGGGUAAGGGCUAGGGGGUAGAGGCUAGGGAGUAAGUGGGUAAAGGCUAGGGGGUAAGGGCUAGGGAGUAAAGGGGUAGAGGCUAGGGAGUAAAGGGGUAGAGGCUAGGGAGUAAAGGGGUAGAGGCUAGUUAAAGAUUAGGGAGUAAAGGGGUAGAGGCUAGGGAGUAAAGGGGUAGAGGCUAGGGAGGAAAGUAGAGGCUAGGGGGUAGAGGCUAGGGAGGGGGUAGAGGAGGCUAUUGAGUAAAGGGGUAGAG